RNAcentral lists this ribosomal RNA (253 nucleotides) under uncultured bacterium. Its description in RNAcentral is "partial 16S ribosomal RNA". It matches the Rfam family "Bacterial small subunit ribosomal RNA", at positions 524 to 776 of the family's 1533-position model. The record is from RNAcentral.
AACGUAGGAGACAAACGUUAUCCGGAGUUACUGGGCGUAAAGGGCGUGUAGGCGGUUAGUUAAGUCUGGCGUGAAAGCCCUCGGCUAAACCGGGAGAGGUCGUUGGAUACUGGCUGACUAGAGGACGGUAGAGGCGUGUGGAAUUCCGGGUGUAGUGGUGAAAUGCGUAGAGAUCCGGAGGAACACCAGUGGCGAAGGCGACACGCUGGGCCGUACCUGACGCUAAAGCGCGACAGCAUGGGGAGCAAACGGG